This 1500-nucleotide ribosomal RNA is filed under the name metagenome. Its description in RNAcentral is "bacterial SSU rRNA". It matches the Rfam family "Bacterial small subunit ribosomal RNA". The record is from RNAcentral.
AGGGUUUGAUCCUGGCUCAGAAUGAACGCUGGCGGCGUGGCUAAGACAUGCAAGUCGAACGAACCAUUUAUGGUUAGUGGCGAAAGGGUUAGUAAUGGUUAGGUAACGUACCCCAUGCUUCAGGAUAGCGUCAGUUACUUCGGUAACUUUCCGAAAGGGGCGGUAAUACUGAAUAAUAUCAUAAGUUGAUAGACUUAUGAUCAAAGAUUUAUCGACGUGGGAGCGGCCUAAUUCCUAUCAGCUUGUUGGUGAGGUAAUGGCUCACCAAGGCUAUGACGGGUAGCGGGACUGAGAGGUUGGCCCGCAACAUCGGGACUGAGACACUGCCCGGACCUCCACGGAGGGCUGCAGUAACGAAUAUUGGGCAAUGGGCGAAAGCCUGACCCAGCGACGCCGCGUGUAGGAGGAAGUCCUUCGGGAUGUAAACUACUUUUCGGAGUAAGAAAGUCUUCGGAUUGAUCUAAUCCGGAAUAAGUCACGGCUAACUUCGUGCCAGCAGCCGCGGUAAUACGAAGGUGGCAAGCGUUAUUCGGUAUCACUGGGCUUAAAGCGUGUGUAGGUGGAAAAGUAAGUGUUUUGUGAAAGCCCUCGGCUCAACCGAGGAAUUGCUUAGCAUACUGCUUUUCUUGAGGCAAGUAGGGGUACGUGGAACUCUUGGUGGAGCGGUGGAAUGCGUAAAUAUCAAGAGGAACGCCGAUGGUGAAGACAAUGUACUGGACUUGUCCUGACACUCAGACACGAAAGCGUGGGGAGCAAACAGGAUUAGAUACCCUGGUAGUCCACGCUGUAAACGAUGCCUACUAGGUCGUGGGAGUUCUGACGCUUUCACGGCCGAAGCAAAAGUGUUAAGUAGGCCGCCUGGGGAGUACGGUCGCAAGGCUAAAACUCAAAGGAAUUGACGGGGGCUCACACAAGCGGUGGAGCAUGUGGAUUAAUUCGAAUCAACGCGCAGAACCUUACCUGGGUUUGACAUGCUUGGAUGCCCUUCUGGAAACAGAAGUAAGCUGCCCUUCGGGGUGAAACUUGCACAGGUGCUGCAUGGCUGUCGUCAGCUCGUGUCGUGAGAUGUCGGGUUAAGCCCUUUAACGAGCGAAACCCUUACCGUUAGUUGCCAGCGCGUCAUGGCGGGGACUCUAACGGGACUGCCGGUGUUAAACCGGAGGAAGGUGGGGAUGACGUCAAGUCCUCAUGGCCUUUAUGCCCAGGGCUUCACACGUGCUACAAUGGUCGAUACAGAGCGACGCAAGACCGCGAGGUGGAGCAAAUCGCAAAAAGUCGGCCCCAGUUCGGAUUGCAGGCUGGCAACUCGCCUGCAUGAAGGUGGAAUCGCUAGUAAUCGCGUGUCAGCUAUAACGCGGUGAAUGUGUUCCUGAGCCUUGUACACACCGCCCGUCAAGUGAUGGGAGUUGGGAGUACCCGAAGUCGGAUUGCUAACCCAGUUUACUGGGAGGCGUCUGCCGACGGUAAGCCCGAUGACUGGCACUAAGUCGUAACAAGGUA